This 467-nucleotide ribosomal RNA is filed under the name uncultured bacterium. RNAcentral describes it as "bacterial SSU rRNA". It matches the Rfam family "Bacterial small subunit ribosomal RNA", at positions 28 to 474 of the family's 1533-position model. The record is from RNAcentral.
GACGAACGCUGGCGGCGUGCUUAACACAUGCAAGUCGAACGGGCCUGCCUGGCUUUGGUUGGGUGGGUGAGUGGCGAACGGGUGAGUAACACGUGAGUAACCUGCCCUCUUCUCUUGGAUAACUGCUUGAAAGGGCGGCUAAUACGGGAUGUUCUGGCUGCCUCGCAUGGGGUGGUUUGGAAAGAUUCGGCCUGGUUUUGGUUGUUUUGGUGGGGGAUGGGCUCGCGGCUUAUCAGCUUGUUGGUGGGGUGAUGGCCUACCAAGGCGGUGACGGGUAGCCGGCCUGAGAGGGUGGACGGUCACACUGGGACUGAGACACGGCCCAGACUCCUGCGGGAGGCAGCAGUGGGGGAUUUUGCACAAUGGGCGCAAGCCUGAUGCAGCGACGCCGCGUGAGGGAUGGAGGCCUUCGGGUUGNGAACCUCUGUCGCCGGUGAUGUAGGCUCUGCUUUGUGGGUGGGGUGACG